UGAGCAUAGGAUGCUACAUUCGGAAUGGUCG
Molecule: transfer RNA, 31 nt
Filed under: Phtheirospermum japonicum
Lineage: Eukaryota; Viridiplantae; Streptophyta; Magnoliopsida; Lamiales; Orobanchaceae
Description: partial tRNA-Phe
Source: RNAcentral